AUGCUGCAUUGUGUCGGGAGUUGCUGACAGCCAUGGCGCCGCAGGUCUGGCGUCGACGGACCCUGGAGCGGUGUCUGACGGAAGUCGGCAAAGCCACGGGUCGGCCCGAGUGCUUCCUCACGUAAGUGCGCAGAUCCCGGGCUCGGGGUGCGAGCGGGGUCUCACGUGGACGCGGGUUGCAGGCCUCCGGCAAAUUGUGGAGCUGGGGGAAGGAUUCAAGAGGGAUUGGCAUCAAAGUUCACUUCUUUAACAAAAGUGCUUUAUGACUUUAAUAAAAUAUUAGAGAAUGGUAGGAUCCAUGGAAGCCCCUUGCAAAAACUUGUGAUAGCAAAUUUUGAUGAUGAGCAGAUUUGGCAACAACUGGAAUUGCAAAAUGAACCAAUUUUACAAUACUUUGAGAAUGCAGUUAGUGAAACAAUUAAUGAUGAAGAUAUCAGUCUUCUCCCAGAGAGUGAAGAACAGGAACGUGAAGAGGAUGGUUCA
This 483-nucleotide small RNA is filed under the name Pan troglodytes (chimpanzee). Its description in RNAcentral is "processed transcript". The record is from RNAcentral. Lineage: Eukaryota; Metazoa; Chordata; Mammalia; Primates; Hominidae.